RNAcentral lists this ribosomal RNA (253 nucleotides) under uncultured bacterium. RNAcentral describes it as "partial 16S ribosomal RNA". It matches the Rfam family "Bacterial small subunit ribosomal RNA", at positions 524 to 776 of the family's 1533-position model. The record is from RNAcentral.
UACGAAGGGGGCUAGCGUUGUUCGGAAUCACUGGGCGUAAAGGGCGCGUAGGCGGCCAUAUAAGUCGGGGGUGAAAGCCUGUGGCUCAACCACAGAAUUGCCUUCGAUACUGUAUGGCUCGAGACCGGAAGAGGUAAGUGGAACUGCGAGUGUAGAGGUGAAAUUCGUAGAUAUUCGCAAGAACACCAGUGGCGAAGGCGGCGCACUGGCCCGAUACUGACGCUGAGGCACGAAAGCGUGGGGAGCAAACAGG